Molecule: ribosomal RNA, 645 nt
Filed under: uncultured Bacteroides sp.
Lineage: Bacteria; Pseudomonadati; Bacteroidota; Bacteroidia; Bacteroidales; Bacteroidaceae
Description: bacterial SSU rRNA
Rfam family: Bacterial small subunit ribosomal RNA
Source: RNAcentral
UUUGCUUGCAAGUGAAGAUGGCGACCGGCGCACGGGUGAGUAACACGUAUCCCAUUUGACGAUAACUCGGGGAUAGCCUUUCGAAAGAAAGAUUAUUAUCCGAUAGCAUAUCAAUCCCGCAUGAGAUUGAUAUUAAAGAAUUUCGGUUAUCGAUGGGGAUGCGUUCCAUUAGGCAGUUGGUGGGGUAACGGCCCACCAAACCUUCGAUGGAUAGGGGUUCUGAGAGGAAGGUCCCCCACAUUGGAACUGAGACACGGUCCAAACUCCUACGGGAGGCAGCAGUGAGGAAUAUUGGUCAAUGGACGAGAGUCUGAACCAGCCAAGUAGCGUGAAGGAUGACUGCCCUAUGGGUUGUAAACUUCUUUUAUAUGGGAAUAAAGUGGUCCACGUGUGGAUUUUUGUAUGUACCAUAUGAAUAAGGAUCGGCUAACUCCGUGCCAGCAGCCGCGGUAAUACGGAGGAUCCGAGCGUUAUCCGGAUUUAUUGGGUUUAAAGGGAGCGUAGGUGGACAGUUAAGUCAGUUGUAAAAGUUUGCGGCUCAACCGUAAAAUUGCAGUUGAUACUGGCUGUCUUGAGUACAGUAGAGGUGGGCGGAAUUCGUGGUGUAGCGGUGAAAUGCUUAGAUAUCACGAAGAACUCCGAUUG